GCUUUAAUAAUUUAAAUAAAAUAUUGAUUUUGUAAAUCAAAAAUAAGUAAUUUCUUUUAUAGCU
Molecule: transfer RNA, 64 nt
Filed under: Ochthebius minoicus
Lineage: Eukaryota; Metazoa; Arthropoda; Insecta; Coleoptera; Hydraenidae
Description: tRNA-Thr
Source: RNAcentral